GGGUUGUGAGGUUAAGCGACUAAGCGUACACGGUGGAUGCCUUGGCAGUCAGAGGCGAUGAAGGGCGUGCUAAUCUGCGAUAAGCGCCGGUAAGGUGAUAUGAACCGUUAUAACCGGCGAUACCCGAAUGGGGAAACCCAGUGUGACUCGUCACACUAUCAUUAACUGAAUCCAUAGGUUAAUGAGGCGAACCGGGGGAACUGAAACAUCUAAGUACCCCGAGGAAAAGAAAUCAACCGAGAUUCCCCCAGUAGCGGCGAGCGAACGGGGAGGAGCCCAGAGCCUGAAUCAGCAUGUGUGUUAGUGGAAGCGUCUGGAAAGGCGCGCGAUACAGGGUGACAGCCCCGUACACAAAAGCGCAUGUGCUGUGAGCUCGAUGAGUAGGGCGGGACACGUGGUAUCCUGUCUGAAUAUGGGGGGACCAUCCUCCAAGGCUAAAUACUCCUGACUGACCGAUAGUGAACCAGUACCGUGAGGGAAAGGCGAAAAGAACCCCGGCGAGGGGAGUGAAAAAGAACCUGAAACCGUGUACGUACAAGCAGUGGGAGCCCCACCACUAAGCCAGUGGUGAACUCCACAUCCGCAUCCUUUGCUGAGGAUACGGUUAACGGAGCGAAAGCGACGUUCAACCGCAAAACAAGCAGAGGGGGCUUAGUGGUGGGGUGACUGCGUACCUUUUGUAUAAUGGGUCAGCGACUUAUAUUCUGUAGCAAGGUUAACCGUAUAGGGGAGCCGGAGGGAAACCGAGUCUUAAUUGGGCGUUAAGUUGCAGGGUAUAGACCCGAAACCCGGUGAUCUAGCCAUGGGCAGGUUGAAGGUUGGGUAACACUAACUGGAGGACCGAACCGACUAAUGUUGAAAAAUUAGCGGAUGACCUGUGGCUGGGGGUGAAAGGCCAAUCAAACCGGGAGAUAGCUGGUUCUCCCCGAAAGCUAUUUAGGUAGCGCCUCGUGAAUUCAUCUCCGGGGGUAGAGCACUGUUUCGGCUAGGGGGCCAUCCCGGCUUACCAACCCGAUGCAAACUGCGAAUACCGGAGAAUGUUAUCACGGGAGACACACGGCGGGUGCUAACGUCCGUCGUGAAGAGGGAAACAACCCAGACCGCCAGCUAAGGUCCCAAAGUCAUGGUUAAGUGGGAAACGAUGUGGGAAGGCCCAGACAGCCAGGAUGUUGGCUUAGAAGCAGCCAUCAUUUAAAGAAAGCGUAAUAGCUCACUGGUCGAGUCGGCCUGCGCGGAAGAUGUAACGGGGCUAAACCAUGCACCGAAGCUGCGGCAGCGA
This 1279-nucleotide ribosomal RNA is filed under the name Salmonella enterica subsp. enterica serovar Typhimurium. Its description in RNAcentral is "bacterial LSU rRNA". It matches the Rfam family "Bacterial large subunit ribosomal RNA", at positions 1 to 1211 of the family's 2925-position model. Lineage: Bacteria; Pseudomonadati; Pseudomonadota; Gammaproteobacteria; Enterobacterales; Enterobacteriaceae. The record is from RNAcentral.